This 254-nucleotide unclassified non-coding RNA is filed under the name uncultured Acidimicrobiia bacterium. Its description in RNAcentral is "contains 16S-23S intergenic spacer region". It matches the Rfam family "Bacterial small subunit ribosomal RNA", at positions 524 to 776 of the family's 1533-position model. The record is from RNAcentral. Lineage: Bacteria; Bacillati; Actinomycetota; Acidimicrobiia.
GACAGAGACUACGAGCGUUAUCCGGAAUCAUUGGGCGUAAAGAGCUCGUAGGCGGUUCAGCAAGUCGGCUGUGAAAGUCCAAGGCUCAACCUUGGAAAUGCAGUCGAUACUGCUGUGACUAGAGUCUGGUAGAGGAGAAUGGAAUUCCCGGUGUAGCGGUGGAAUGCGCAGAUAUCGGGAGGAACACCAGUAGCGAAGGCGGUUCUCUGGGCCUCGACUGACGCUGAGGAGCGAAAGCAUGGGUAGCAAACAGG